This 70-nucleotide transfer RNA is filed under the name Coloceras sp. SLC-2011. RNAcentral's name for it is "tRNA-Ile". Lineage: Eukaryota; Metazoa; Arthropoda; Insecta; Psocodea; Philopteridae. The record is from RNAcentral.
UUUGGAGUGCCUGAAGUAUUAAGGACCAUUUUGAUGUGAUGGGUAUAGAAUAGAAUUGUUCUCUUCAAAU